Molecule: ribosomal RNA, 2479 nt
Filed under: Listeria monocytogenes
Lineage: Bacteria; Bacillati; Bacillota; Bacilli; Caryophanales; Listeriaceae
Description: partial 23S ribosomal RNA
Rfam family: Bacterial large subunit ribosomal RNA
Source: RNAcentral
CUGAGUACGGCGGAACACGUGAAAUUCCGUCGGAAUCCGGGAGGACCAUCUCCCAAGGCUAAAUACUCCCUAGUGACCGAUAGUGAACCAGUACCGUGAGGGAAAGGUGAAAAGCACCCCGGAAGGGGAGUGAAACAGUUCCUGAAACCGUGUGCCUACAAGUAGUUAGAGCCCGUUAAUGGGUGAUAGCGUGCCUUUUGUAGAAUGAACCGGCGAGUUACGAUUUGUUGCAAGGUUAAGCGGAAAAAGCGGAGCCGUAGCGAAAGCGAGUCUGAAUAGGGCGCAUAAGUAACAGGUCGUAGACCCGAAACCAGGUGAUCUACCCAUGUCCAGGAUGAAGGUAAGGUAAUACUUACUGGAGGUCCGAACCCACGCACGUUGAAAAGUGCGGGGAUGAGGUGUGGGUAGCGGAGAAAUUCCAAUCGAACUUGGAGAUAGCUGGUUCUCUCCGAAAUAGCUUUAGGGCUAGCCUCGAGGUAAAGAGUCAUGGAGGUAGAGCACUGUUUGGACUAGGGGCCCUUCUCGGGUUACCGAAUUCAGAUAAACUCCGAAUGCCAUGUACUUAUACUCGGGAGUCAGACUGCGAGUGAUAAGAUCCGUAGUCGAAAGGGAAACAGCCCAGACCACCAGUUAAGGUCCCCAAAUAUAUGUUAAGUGGAAAAGGAUGUGGGGUUGCUUAGACAACCAGGAUGUUGGCUUAGAAGCAGCCACCAUUGAAAGAGUGCGUAAUAGCUCACUGGUCGAGUGACCCCGCGCCGAAAAUGUACCGGGGCUAAACAUAUUACCGAAACUGUGGAUGAACCUCUUUAGAGGUUCGUGGUAGGAGAGCGUUCUAAGGGCGGUGAAGUCAGACCGGAAGGACUGGUGGAGCGCUUAGAAGUGAGAAUGCCGGUAUGAGUAGCGAAAGAAGGGUGAGAAUCCCUUCCACCGAAUAUCUAAGGUUUCCUGAGGAAGGCUCGUCCGCUCAGGGUUAGUCGGGACCUAAGCCGAGGCCGAUAGGCGUAGGCGAUGGACAACAGGUAGAGAUUCCUGUACCAGUGCUAAUUGUUUAACCGAUGGGGUGACACAGAAGGAUAGGGAAUCGCACGAAUGGAAAUGUGCGUCCAAGCAGUGAGUGUGAGAAGUAGGCAAAUCCGCUUCUCGCGAAGCAUGAGCUGUGAUGGGGAAGGAAAUUAAGUACGGAAGUUCCUGAUUUCACGCUGUCAAGAAAAGCCUCUAGGAAGAGUAGUACUGCCCGUACCGCAAACCGACACAGGUAGAUGAGGAGAGAAUCCUAAGGUGAGCGAGAGAACUCUCGUUAAGGAACUCGGCAAAAUGACCCCGUAACUUCGGGAGAAGGGGUGCUCUAUUAGGGUGCAAGCCCGAGAGAGCCGCAGUGAAUAGGCCCAGGCGACUGUUUAGCAAAAACACAGGUCUCUGCAAAACCGUAAGGUGACGUAUAGGGGCUGACGCCUGCCCGGUGCUGGAAGGUUAAGAGGAGUGCUUAGCUUCGGCGAAGGUACGAAUUGAAGCCCCAGUAAACGGCGGCCGUAACUAUAACGGUCCUAAGGUAGCGAAAUUCCUUGUCGGGUAAGUUCCGACCCGCACGAAAGGCGCAACGAUCUGGGCACUGUCUCAACGAGAGACUCGGUGAAAUUAUAGUACCUGUGAAGAUGCAGGUUACCCGCGACAGGACGGAAAGACCCCGUGGAGCUUUACUGCAACCUGAUAUGGAAUGUUUGUACCGCUUGUACAGGAUAGGUAGGAGCCGAAGAGACGUGUGCGCUAGCAUACGAGGAGGCAAUGGUGGGAUACUACCCUGGCUGUAUGACCAUUCUAACCCGCCACGCUUAGCGCGUGGGGAGACAGUGUCAGGUGGGCAGUUUGACUGGGGCGGUCGCCUCCUAAAGAGUAACGGAGGCGCCCAAAGGUUCCCUCAGAAUGGAUGGAAAUCAUUCGCAGAGUGUAAAGGCACAAGGGAGCUUGACUGCGAGACUGACAAGUCGAGCAGGGACGAAAGUCGGGCUUAGUGAUCCGGUGGUUCCGCAUGGAAGGGCCAUCGCUCAACGGAUAAAAGCUACCCCGGGGAUAACAGGCUUAUCUCCCCCAAGAGUCCACAUCGACGGGGAGGUUUGGCACCUCGAUGUCGGCUCGUCGCAUCCUGGGGCUGUAGUCGGUCCCAAGGGUUGGGCUGUUCGCCCAUUAAAGCGGCACGCGAGCUGGGUUCAGAACGUCGUGAGACAGUUCGGUCCCUAUCCGUCGCGGGCGCAGGAAAUUUGAGAGGAGCUGUCCUUAGUACGAGAGGACCGGGAUGGACACACCGCUGGUGUACCAGUUGUUCCGCCAGGAGCAUCGCUGGGUAGCUAUGUGUGGCAGGGAUAAACGCUGAAAGCAUCUAAGCGUGAAGCCCCCCUCAAGAUGAGAUUUCCCAUUUCUUCGGAAAGUAAGAUCCCUGAAAGAUGAUCAGGUAGAUAGGUUUGGAGUGGAAGUGUAGCGAUAC